CCUACGGGAGGCAGCAGUGGGGAAUAUUGCACAAUGGGGGAAACCCUGAUGCAGCGACGCCGCGUGAGUGAAGAAGGCUUUCGGUACGUAAAGCUCUAUCAGCAGGGAAGAAAAUGACGGUACCUGACUAAGAAGCCCCGGCUAACUACGAACCAGCAGCCGCGGCAAUACGGCGGGGGCAAGCGUUAUCCGGAUUUAAUGGGUGUAAAGGGAGUGUAGAAGGGAGCGCAAGUAUGGAGUGAAAUCCCAGGGCUUAACCAUGGAACUGCAUUCGAAACUGGGCGGCGGGAGUGCGGGAGAGGUAAGCGGAAUGCCUGGUGUAGCGGGGAAAUGCGUAGAUAUUAGGAGGAACACCGAUGGCGAAGGCGGCUUACUGGACUGUAACUGACGUUGAGGCUCGAAAGCGUGGGGAGCAAACAGGAUUAGAUACCCUUGUAGUC
RNAcentral lists this ribosomal RNA (440 nucleotides) under uncultured bacterium. RNAcentral's name for it is "partial 16S ribosomal RNA". It matches the Rfam family "Bacterial small subunit ribosomal RNA", at positions 338 to 795 of the family's 1533-position model. The record is from RNAcentral.